Molecule: long non-coding RNA, 933 nt
Filed under: Vigna radiata
Lineage: Eukaryota; Viridiplantae; Streptophyta; Magnoliopsida; Fabales; Fabaceae
Description: long non-coding RNA (VRAD_LNC008294)
Source: RNAcentral
GACAGUCUAGUGACGUCGGUGUUAACGGGGGUCGACGUUUACUGGGUUGCAAUUAAUGCUCUUCACCUAAUUCCUAGGCGCUUAGACGUCACGUAGUCAAAAGGCGACGUCUAAGGCCUGUCUGGAAGGCGGGAAGACAAAAAAUUCUUCAAUUUAGACGUUGGUGUUGAGGGGAAGUGACGUCUAUGUGCCUGUAAUUAAUUAUGUUCACCAAACUCGAGGGCCUUAGACGUCGGCGCCCCAUCACAACUGUCGUGAACAUCCCUGACAAAAAAUCAAACGUCAAUCCGUUCACUUCCUAGAUGUCGGCUCCCCUCGAAACCGACGUCUAAUGGGUAUUCAAAAAGUCAGUUUAAAUGUUAACUUGGACGUCAUAUUAGUGGGAUAACCAACGUCUAUGUGACUAUAGACGUCGGUUUCUGGAGCAACCGAUGCCCAAUUUCAUUUUAAAUAAACCGUAAACUCUUCGCGGCAUUCAGUUUUUGAUAUCAUCUUCCUCUUCUCCUUUUUCUCUUGCGGCACCUCUUCUUUUUCUCGCUUGCGGCACCUCUUCUUUUUCUCUCUUGCGACAUUCCAUUGUUGUUUCUAAUAUCUUUAUCGUCUUCCUCCUCUCCUUUUUCUCUCUUGCGGCAUUGCAUCCUAGGUACGUGGUUUUUUUUUUUUUUUUUUUUUUUUUAUGCUUACUGUUUAAACUUUGUUUAGUUAAGUCUGUCAUUGAUUAUCUUCUAGUUCAACUGAUUAAAAUUUGCUUUCUUUGUGUUGUGUUUUAGUGUAGUUUUGUUCCUUUCUUGGGGUAACGUAAUAACACAUUCUCCAUUUGCUAGUUGCCUCCCAGAAAAAGCGACGUCUUGUGAAUUUCUUUUGGUCAUUUCAACCCAAAAACAACCCUGGGUCGUUGUCUAGUUAUCGUUUCACCAUGAUUUUCCCCUCUUG